GUGGGGAAUAUUGGACAAUGGGCGAAAGCCUGAUCCAGCCAUGCCGCGUGUGUGAAGAAGGUCUUCGGAUUGUAAAGCACUUUAAGUUGGGAGGAAGGGCAUUAACCUAAUACGUUAGUGUUUUGACGUUACCGACAGAAUAAGCACCGGCUAACUUCGUGCCAGCAGCCGCGGUAAUACGAAGGGUGCAAGCGUUAAUCGGAAUUACUGGACGUAAAGCGCGCGUAGGUGGUUCGUUAAGUUGGAUGUGAAAGCCCCGGGCUCAACCUGGGAACUGCAUCCAAAACUGGCGAGCUAGAGUACGGUAGAGGGUGGUGGAAUUUCCUGUGUAGCGGUGAAAUGCGUAGAUAUAGGAAGGAACACCAGUGGCGAAGGCGACCACCUGGACUGAUACUGACACUGAGGUGCGAAAGCGUGGGGAGCAAACAGGAUUAGAAACCCCAGUAGUCC
RNAcentral lists this ribosomal RNA (450 nucleotides) under uncultured bacterium. Its description in RNAcentral is "partial 16S ribosomal RNA". It matches the Rfam family "Bacterial small subunit ribosomal RNA", at positions 354 to 796 of the family's 1533-position model. The record is from RNAcentral.